Homo sapiens (human) is the source of this 556-nucleotide long non-coding RNA. Ensembl annotates it as EEF1A1 antisense RNA 1. Its record names the gene EEF1A1-AS1. Lineage: Eukaryota; Metazoa; Chordata; Mammalia; Primates; Hominidae. The record is from Ensembl.
CUGCUUCCUAGGGAGGGAGGCUGGGGCGGCAAGGCGGGCGCGGGUGGUCCUUGCCCCGCGCCAGCUCGCCAGGCCACGUCGCUGGCGUUUUUCCAGCGCUGGGUCACCUGCGGGCCGGCGGGUUCCCGCGGCGAACAGCUGGGUGGUAUGGAUACGCCGCUCGAGCCUCCGCAGCGUCAGGUCGCCAGGGUCCGCCCUGCCACUCGCCCCACCUUGAGCUACCUCUGAAGAAAAGAUGAUGGCCCGGUGCGGUGGCUCACGCCUGUAAUCCCAGCACUUUGGGAGGCCGAGUCAGGCGGAUCACCUGAGGAAGAAGACGUAUAAGCCUUUAAGCUUAGUAAACCUUUGGGUUCUGUGCAUUUGGCCAUCAUUCCAGUUGUCAGCAUUGUGCAGGACAGGUACUUGAGGUCUGUUUUUGUGAACCAGGGACCCGAGGCACAGAGCAAGUAAGUGGAUAGAAACAAAUGCUGUAAGAACAAAUAAUUGUAUUUAAAAAUUUAUGAUUUUCAUUUAUUUUUCAGAGGAAGCAUUAAUGAGUAGGUAGUAAUUUCUGGGU